Long non-coding RNA from Cynoglossus semilaevis (tongue sole), 395 nucleotides. RefSeq lists it as uncharacterized. The transcript has 3 exons. The record is from RefSeq and is a predicted model, not a curated record. NCBI's taxonomy places the organism in Eukaryota, Metazoa, Chordata, Actinopteri, Pleuronectiformes, Cynoglossidae.
CAACAGAAUCAUCACCAGGAACAAGAGCAUGAUUUCCUGUACCUGUGAAAUUCUCUCUCCUCCUCCUGGGCAUCGUGGGAUUCCUGCAGGCUGAGUGCGAUCGCGGUCUGCAGUUCAUCUUUACGAAUAUCUACAUAAAUAUGAUUCGCCUGGAGCCCCAGGAUCCUGAUGAUCUCCGGGGUCCUGAACCUCUGCAGUCUGUGCUGUUAGGAGUCCAACAGCAUGGCCAACAUCGCCUUGACUGGCCUUACACACAGAAGCAGACAAAAAAAAUGAUUCAAUCUUACAUUCAAGGCUCUGAAGAGAAUCUGUGGAUCCUGGAUGCCUGUGAUUUCCCUCAGCUGGUUGAUCAGCAUCUCGCUCUGCUGGUUGAUACAGAUGCAGAGAAAACUAGC